Long non-coding RNA from Pseudopipra pipra, 503 nucleotides. RefSeq lists it as uncharacterized. The record is from RefSeq and is a predicted model, not a curated record. NCBI's taxonomy places the organism in Eukaryota, Metazoa, Chordata, Aves, Passeriformes, Pipridae. The transcript has 3 exons.
ACAGGGGCCAAUCCUUCUUAAACCUUUGCUCUCCUUGCCCAGGCACUCUUGGCAGGAACCCAAAAUGAUCUGCGGGAGGUGAGUGGGCCGGGGGGACUGGAGGGCAUCCAGUCUGGGAACUGGGGGACACUUUGGUCCCCCCAUCCCUCGCUGGCACCGGGGACAUCCCAGUGACCAGCCAGGAUUCCUGCUCUCUCUCCAGCUGGAUUUAGUGGAAGUUGGGAUCCUGAAGAUGGCUCAGGCUCCCAAUACAUCCCACUGCACCCAGUGUGUCUCUGAGCCUGUCUUUGUCCCCAGCCCCCUGUGGUUGAGAAGGUGGUGGGUCUUGUUGGUGAGAAAGGCGUGGCUGCAUCCCUGGAUGGCUGAGGACUGGUGGUGACACCCAUGCCCUGUCCCCCUCCAGCACCAUGAAGAGAUGAUCAUCCCUGGAAGAACCCCCUGAUUUCCCUCAGAGCCCAGGGGCAUUUCCCCAGAAUGAUCAAUAAAUCCCUUCAGCAAAGCUA